RNAcentral lists this ribosomal RNA (1317 nucleotides) under uncultured rumen bacterium. RNAcentral's name for it is "bacterial SSU rRNA". It matches the Rfam family "Bacterial small subunit ribosomal RNA", at positions 43 to 1377 of the family's 1533-position model. The record is from RNAcentral.
CAGGCCUAACACAUGCAAGUCGAACGGAUAUAGUAGCAAUACUAUGUUAGUGGCGGACGGGUGAGUAAUGCAUGAGCAACCUGCCUUAUACAGGGGGAUAACACUUAGAAAUGAGUGCUAAUACCGCGUAAUAGCCUUUUAUGGCAUCAUAAGAGGGGGAAAGGAGAGAUCCGGUAUAAGAUGGGCUCAUGUUCGAUUAGCUAGUUGGUGGGGUAAAGGCUCACCAAGGCGACGAUCGAUAGCCGAACUGAGAGGUUGAACGGCCACAUUGGAACUGAGAGACGGUCCAGACUCCUACGGGAGGCAGCAGUGGGGGAUAUUGCGCAAUGGGGGAAACCCUGACGCAGCAACGCCGUGUGAAGGAAGAAGGCUUUAGGGUUGUAAACUUCUUUGAUUAGGGACGAAAGAAAUGACGGUACCUAAGGAACAAGCCACGGCUAACUACGUGCCAGCAGCCGCGGUAAUACGUAGGUGGCGAGCGUUGUCCGGAAUAACUGGGUGUAAAGGGCGAGUAGGUGGGGCGACAAGUCAGAUGUGAAAUUUAGGGGCUCAACUUCUAAGCUGCAUCUGAAACUAGAGUUCUUGAGUGCUGGAGAGGGAAGCGGAAUUCCUAGUGUAGCGGUGAAAUGCGUAGAUAUUAGGAGGAACACCAGUGGCGAAGGCGGCUUUCUGGACAGUAACUGACMACUGAGGCGCGAAAGCGUGGGGGAGCGAACAGGAUUAGAUACCCUGGUAGUCCACGCUGUAAACGAUGGAUACUAGGUGUAGGAGGUAUCGACCCCUUCUGUGCCGGCGCAAACGCAAUAAGUAUCCCACCUGGGGAGUACGACCGCAAGGUUGAAACUCAAAGGAAUUGACGGGGGCCCGCACAAGCAGUGGAGUAUGUGGUUUAAUUCGAAGCAACGCGAAGAACCUUACCAGGGCUUGACAUCCCUUGAAUAUAUAGGAGACUAUAUAGCUUUUCGGAGCAAGGAGACAGGUGGUGCAUGGUUGUCGUCAGCUCGUGUCGUGAGAUGUUGGGUUAAGUCCCGCAACGAGCGCAACCCCUAUUGUUAGUUACCAGCAUUAAGUUGGGGACUCUAGCGAGACUGCCGGUGAUAAAUCGGAGGAAGGUGGGGACGACGUCAAAUCAUCAUGCCCCUUAUGCCCUGGGCUACACACGUACUACAAUGGCUAUAACAGAGGGAAGCGAGAUCGCGAGAUGGAGCGAAACCCAGAAAGAUAGUCCCAGUUCGGAUUGUAGGCUGAAACUCGCCUACAUGAAGAUGGAAUUGCUAGUAAUGGCAGGUCAGCAUACUGCCAUGAAUACGUUCCCGG